Non-coding RNA from Zootoca vivipara (common lizard), 72 nucleotides. Lineage: Eukaryota; Metazoa; Chordata; Lepidosauria; Squamata; Lacertidae. The record is from the annotation of a RefSeq genome assembly.
GGGGUUGUGGCUCAGUGGUAGAGCACCAGCCUUGCAUACAGGAGGUCCCUGGUUCAAACCCUGGCAUCUCCA